GAUGAACGCUGGCGGCGUGCUUAACACAUGCAAGUCGAACGAAGCACUUUAUUUGAUUUCCUUCGGGACUGAUUAUUUUGUGACUGAGUGGCGGACGGGUGAGUAACGCGUGGGUAACCUGCCUUGUACAGGGGGAUAACAGUUGGAAACGGCUGCUAAUACCGCAUAAGCGCACGGCAUCGCAUGAUGCAGUGUGAAAAACUCCGGUGGUAUAAGAUGGACCCGCGUUGGAUUAGCUAGUUGGUGAGGUAACGGCCCACCAAGGCGACGAUCCAUAGCCGACCUGAGAGGGUGACCGGCCACAUUGGGACUGAGACACGGCCCAAACUCCUACGGGAGGCAGCAGUGGGGAAUAUUGCACAAUGGGCGAAAGCCUGAUGCAGCGACGCCGCGUGAGCGAAGAAGUAUUUCGGUAUGUAAAGCUCUACCAGCAGGGAAGAUAAUGACGGUACCUGACUAAGAAGCACCGGCUAAAUACGUG
RNAcentral lists this ribosomal RNA (481 nucleotides) under uncultured bacterium. RNAcentral describes it as "partial 16S ribosomal RNA". It matches the Rfam family "Bacterial small subunit ribosomal RNA", at positions 28 to 507 of the family's 1533-position model. The record is from RNAcentral.